GGCUCAGAACGAACGCUGAUGGCGUGCUUCAUACAUGCAAGUCGAGCGCCCCGCAAGGGGAGCGGCGAACGGGUGAGUAACGCGUGAACAAUCUGCCCUAAAGUGGGGGAUAACCAUUCCAACGGAUGGCUAAUACCGCAUAGCGUUACGAGGUGGCAUCACUUUGUAACAAAAGGCUUCGGCCGCUUCAGGAUGAGUUCGCGUCCCAUUAGCUUGUUGGCGGGGUAACGGCCCACCAAGGCAACGAUGGGUAUCCGGCCUGAGAGGGUGUACGGACACAUUGGGACUGAGAUACGGCCCAGACUCCUACGGGAGGCAGCAGUAGGGAAUCUUGCGCAAUGGGCGAAAGCCUGACGCAGCAACGCCAUGUGAGGGAUGAAGCAUUUCGGUGUGUAAACCUCUGUCAGCAGGGAAUAACAAGCACUUCGGUGCCUAUGAAUGUACCUGCGAAGGAAGCCCCGGCAAACUUCGUGCCAGCAGCCGCGGUAAUACGAGGGGGGCAAGUGUUGUUCGGAAUCACUGGGCGUAAAGGGAGCGUAGGUGGGUGCUUAAGUUGGGAGUUUAAUUCCGGGGCCCAACCCCGGGCAGGCUCCCAAAACUGGGCAUCUUGAAUAGAGGAGAGGUCAGCGGAAUAGGGGGUGUAGCGGUGGAAUGCGUAGAGAUCCCCUAGAACACCAGUUGCGAAGGCGGCUGACUGGACUCAUAUUGACACUGAGGCUCGAAAGCGUGGGGAGCAAACAGGAUUAGAUACCCUGGUAGUCCACGCCGUAAACGAUGAACACUAGGUACUGGACUUAUCAACGGUUCGGUGCCGUAGCUAACGCGUUAAGUGUUCCGCCUGGGGAGUACGCUCGCAAGGGUGAAACU
Molecule: ribosomal RNA, 867 nt
Filed under: uncultured bacterium
Lineage: Bacteria
Description: bacterial SSU rRNA
Rfam family: Bacterial small subunit ribosomal RNA
Source: RNAcentral